CCUUCGGGUCUAGUGGCGCACGGGUGCGUAACGCGUGGGAAUCUGCCCCUUGGUUCGGAAUAACAGUUAGAAAUGACUGCUAAUACCGGAUGAUGACUUCGGUCCAAAGAUUUAUCGCCAAGGGAUGAGCCCGCGUAAGAUUAGGUAGUUGGUGGGGUAAAGGCCUACCAAGCCGACGAUCUUUAGCUGGUCUGAGAGGAUGAUCAGCCACACUGGGACUGAGACACGGCCCAG
Molecule: ribosomal RNA, 234 nt
Filed under: uncultured bacterium
Lineage: Bacteria
Description: partial 16S ribosomal RNA
Rfam family: Bacterial small subunit ribosomal RNA
Source: RNAcentral